This 253-nucleotide ribosomal RNA is filed under the name uncultured bacterium. RNAcentral describes it as "partial 16S ribosomal RNA". It matches the Rfam family "Bacterial small subunit ribosomal RNA", at positions 524 to 776 of the family's 1533-position model. The record is from RNAcentral.
UACAGAGGGGGCAAGCGUUGUUCGGAAUUACUGGGCGUAAAGGGCGCGUAGGCGGCCUGCUAAGUCGAACGUGAAAUCCCUGAGCUCAACCCAGGAACUGCGUCCGAUACUGGUUGGCUUGAAUCCGGGAGAGGGAUGUGGAAUUCCAGGUGUAGCGGUGAAAUGCGUAGAUAUCUGGAGGAACACCGGUGGCGAAGGCGACAUCCUGGACCGGUAUUGACGCUGAGGCGCGAAAGCCAGGGGAGCAAACGGG